CCUACGGGAGGCAGCAGUGGGGAAUAUUGCACAAUGGGGGAAACCCUGAUGCAGCGACGCCGCGUGAGUGAAGAAGUAAUUCGUUAUGUAAAGCUCUAUCAGCAGGGAAGAAAAUGACGGUACCUGAGUAAGAAGCCCCGGCUAACUACGUGCAAGCAGCCGCGGUAAUACGUAGGGGGCAAGCGUUAGCCGGAUUUACUGGGGGUAACGGGAGCGUAGACGGCAGUGCAAGACUGGAGUGAAAGGCGGGGGCUCAACCCCCGGACUGCUCUGGAAACUGUACGGCUGGAGUGCAGGAGAGGUAAGUGGAAUUCCUAGGGUAGCGGUGAAAUGCGUAGAUAUUAGGAGGAACACCAGUGGCGAAGGCGGCUUACUGGACUGUAACUGACGUUGAGGCUCGAAAGCGUGGGGAGCAAACAGGAUUAGAUACCCUUGUAGUC
RNAcentral lists this ribosomal RNA (440 nucleotides) under uncultured bacterium. Its description in RNAcentral is "partial 16S ribosomal RNA". It matches the Rfam family "Bacterial small subunit ribosomal RNA", at positions 338 to 795 of the family's 1533-position model. The record is from RNAcentral.